Molecule: unclassified non-coding RNA, 332 nt
Organism: Vicugna pacos (alpaca)
Lineage: Eukaryota; Metazoa; Chordata; Mammalia; Artiodactyla; Camelidae
Gene: 7SK
Rfam family: 7SK RNA
About the family: 7SK was discovered as an abundant small nuclear RNA in the mid-70s but a possible function has only recently been suggested.
Source: Ensembl
GGAGUGAGGUAAUCUGGUUUUGACAUAUGUCACUCCCUUGUCAGGGAUGAUUUUAUCUGACUUAGCUGGUUGGAAAGGUGGCACCUUCCUCCCUCACUGAUCUACGUGUGGACUGCCUCACACCGUACGCUAAGGCGAAAAUGUUGAUCUUCUAAGCUCUGUCUGGACUUUCUUUGGUCAAAGGUAUCUGAACAGCUGGGUUAUUUUAAUAGAAACCCUGGAGAUGGAAUUGCAGUUUGAGGCAGCCCCAAUACAUAUUUUUUAGCUGAGAGGAGACUUUAGCAUGCGGAGUGUGCUGUCAUGGAGAAGCCAGUGAUGAAAUGUCUUGGUUU